AGAGUUUGAUCCUGGCUCAGAACGAACGCUGGCGGCGCGCCUAAUACAUGCAAGUCGAGCGAGAAGACGUAGCAAUACGUUUGUAAAGCGGCGAACGGGUGAGGAAUACAUGGGUAACCUACCCUCGAGUGGGGAAUAACUAGCCGAAAGGUUAGCUAAUACCGCAUACGGCUCCUGGUCUGCGGAUCGGGAGAGAAAGCGAUACCAUGGGUAUCGCGCUCUUGGAUGGGCUCAUGUCCUAUCAGCUUGUUGGUGAGGUAAUGGCUCACCAAGGCUUCGACGGGUAGCUGGUCUGAGAGGACGAUCAGCCACACUGGCACUGCGACACGGGCCAGACUCCUACGGGAGGCAGCAGUAAGGAAUAUUGCGCAAUGGGCGACAGCCUGACGCAGCGACGCCGCGUGGGGGAUGAAGGUCUUCGGAUUGUAAACCCCUUUCGGCAGGGAAGAUGGAACGGGUAACCGUUCGGACGGUACCUGCAGAAGCAGCCACGGCUAACUUCGUGCCAGCAGCCGCGGUAAUACGAAGGUGGCAAGCGUUGUUCGGAUUUACUGGGCGUACAGGGAGCGUAGGCGGUUAGGUAAGCCCUUCGUGAAAUCUCCGGGCCUAACCCGGAAAGGGCGGAGGGGACUGCUUGGCUAGAGGAUGGGAGAGGAGCGCGGAAUUCCCGGUGUAGCGGUGAAAUGCGUAGAGAUCGGGAGGAAGGCCGGUGGCGAAGGCGGCGCUCUGGAACAUUUCUGACGCUGAGGCUCGAAAGCGUGGGGAGCAAACAGGAUUAGAUACCCUGGUAGUCG
RNAcentral lists this ribosomal RNA (794 nucleotides) under uncultured bacterium. RNAcentral's name for it is "bacterial SSU rRNA". It matches the Rfam family "Bacterial small subunit ribosomal RNA", at positions 8 to 796 of the family's 1533-position model. The record is from RNAcentral.